CAAACAGGGGAUGCCGUCGCUGUCUGAGGUAUUCAGGCAGAGGAACUUCCCGACUCUCCGCCGGAAAAGCCGGCAAGGUUGCCUCACGAAACCGCAAGUGAGGGCAUAGCCGCGAGAGCGCGCUAUGACUACAACCGCAACAGAGAGGAGUCCCGCCCCGAACGGGGUAAGGGGUGAAACGGUAGGGUAAGAGCCUACCAGCAGCGCGUGGUAACACCGCUGGCUGGGCGAGCGUGCAACCGGGAGCAAGGUGAGUGGGCCGGGCUGCCCGCGCAGGCGGGAUGUUCGGUCUCAUCGCAGCGGGGCGGGCGAGGUCGGGUAACACCCGGCAAGCCACAACCCGCCACCCGCGCAGGCGGGUGAGAUAGAUGACGGCACGGAACAGAAUCGGGGGUACCUCCCUGUUUGGAUG
This 412-nucleotide RNase P RNA is filed under the name Caldilineae bacterium. Its description in RNAcentral is "RNase P RNA component class A". It matches the Rfam family "Bacterial RNase P class A". Rfam says of the family: Ribonuclease P (RNase P) is a ubiquitous endoribonuclease, found in archaea, bacteria and eukarya as well as chloroplasts and mitochondria. Its best characterised activity is the generation of mature 5'-ends of tRNAs by cleaving the 5'-leader elements of precursor-tRNAs. Lineage: Bacteria; Bacillati; Chloroflexota; Caldilineae. The record is from RNAcentral.